CCUUGUCAUUAGUUGCUACAUUUAGUUGGGCACUCUAAUGAAACUGCCGGUGACAAACCGGAGGAAGGUGGGGAUGACGUCAAUUCCUCAUGGCCCUUAUAGGUAGGGCUACACACUUCAUACAAUGGCUGGUACAAAGGGUUGCCAACCCGCGAGGGGGAGCUAAUCCCAUAAAACCAAUCGUAGUCCGGAUCGCAAUCUGCUACUCUACUGCUUGAAGUCGGAAUCGCUAGUAAUCGCGGAUCAGAAUGUCUCGGUGAAUACUUUCCCGGGUCUUGUACACACCGCCCGUCUCACUAUGGGAGCGGGUUCUGCCACAAUUAGUUAGCCUAACCGCAAGGAGGGCGAUAACCACGGCAGGGUUCGUGACUGGGGUGAAAUCGUAACAAGGUAGCCGUAUCGGAAGGUGCGGCUGGAUCACCU
This 423-nucleotide ribosomal RNA is filed under the name beta proteobacterium W-2022. RNAcentral describes it as "bacterial SSU rRNA". It matches the Rfam family "Bacterial small subunit ribosomal RNA", at positions 1103 to 1528 of the family's 1533-position model. The record is from RNAcentral. Lineage: Bacteria; Pseudomonadati; Pseudomonadota; Betaproteobacteria.